RNAcentral lists this ribosomal RNA (305 nucleotides) under uncultured bacterium. RNAcentral's name for it is "bacterial SSU rRNA". It matches the Rfam family "Bacterial small subunit ribosomal RNA", at positions 335 to 637 of the family's 1533-position model. The record is from RNAcentral.
UUUCCUACGGGACGCAGCAGUGAGGAAUAUUGGUCAAUGGACGAGAGUCUGAACCAGCCAAGUAGCGUGAAGGAUGACUGCCCUAUGGGUUGUAAACUUCUUUUAUAUGGGAAUAAAACAGGGUAUGCAUACCCUCUUGUAUGUACCAUAUGAAUAAGGAUCGGCUAACUCCGUGCCAGCAGCCGCGGUAAUACGGAGGAUCCGAGCGUUAUCCGGAUUUAUUGGGUUUAGAGGGAGCGUAGAUGGGUUGUUAAGUCAGUUGUGAAAGUUUGCGGCUCAACCGUAAAAUUGCAAUUGAUACUGGA